RNAcentral lists this long non-coding RNA (213 nucleotides) under Elaeis guineensis (African oil palm). Its description in RNAcentral is "long non-coding RNA (EGUI_LNC072108)". The record is from RNAcentral. Lineage: Eukaryota; Viridiplantae; Streptophyta; Magnoliopsida; Arecales; Arecaceae.
ACUAAUCAGUACCAUAUUAUAUCAGGUAUGCCAUACUGAUACCAAAUAGACAUACAAUCUCGUACUAUAUCGAUAUUUGGUAUAUCUCAUCAUCUCAUAUUGUACCGCAAACCAAUACCAGAAGAGGAUGAUAGAUAUCCAAUAUCGAGAUGGCGAAUCUUGGUCUCAAGCAUUUAUAUCCAAAGGCCUAGGGAUAGUAAUUAUAGCCAACCC